RNAcentral lists this ribosomal RNA (1285 nucleotides) under metagenome. RNAcentral's name for it is "bacterial LSU rRNA". It matches the Rfam family "Bacterial large subunit ribosomal RNA", at positions 1627 to 2925 of the family's 2925-position model. The record is from RNAcentral.
CUAAGGCAUGACGGCCUGUACCCGAAACCGACACAGGUGGGGUGGUAGAGAAUACCGAGGGGCGCGAGAUAACUCUCUCUAAGGAACUCGGCAAAAUGGCCCCGUAACUUCGGGAGAAGGGGUGCCACCGCAAGGUGGUCGCAGUGAAGAGGCCCAGGCGACUGUUUACCAAAAACACAGGUCUCCGCUAAGUCGCAAGACGAUGUAUGGGGGCUGACGCCUGCCCAGUGCCGGAAGGUUAAGGAAGCUGGUCAGCGCAAGCGAAGCUAGCGACUGAAGCCCCGGUGAACGGCGGCCGUAACUAUAACGGUCCUAAGGUAGCGAAAUUCCUUGUCGGGUAAGUUCCGACCCGCACGAAGGGCGUAACGAUCUGGGCGCUGUCUCGGAGAGAGGCUCGGCGAAAUAGAAUUGUCUGUGAAGAUGCGGACUACGUGCACCCGGACAGAAAGACCCUAUGAAGCUUUACUGUAGCUUGGUAUUGUGCCCGGGCUCUGAAUGCGCAGGAUAGGUGGGAGGCUUUGAUCCAUUGCUUGUGGGUAAUGGUGAGCCACUGGUGAGAUACCACUCUUUCAGAGCUAGGGUUCUAACGGUCACCCGUUAUCCGGGGACCGGACAGUAUCAGGUGGGCAGUUUGACUGGGGCGGUCGCCUCCUAAAAGGUAACGGAGGCGCGCAAAGGUCCCCUCAGGCUGGUUGGAAAUCAGCCGACGAGUGUAAAGGCAGAAGGGAGCUUGACUGUGAGACCUACAAGUCGAACAGGGACGAAAGUCGGCCUUAGUGAUCCGACGGUUCUGAGUGGAAGGGCCGUCGCUCAACGGAUAAAAGUUACUCUAAGGAUAACAGGCUGAUCUCCCCCAAGAGUUCACAUCGACGGGGAGGUUUGGCACCUCGAUGUCGGCUCAUCGCAACCUGGGGCUGAAGUCGGUCCCAAGGGUUGGGCUGUUCGCCCAUUAAAGCGGUACGCGAGCUGGGUUCAGAACGUCGUGAGACAGUUCGGUCCAUAUCCGGUGCACGCGCAGGAACAUUGAGAGGAUUUCUCCCUAGUACGAGAGGACCGGGAGGAACGCACCUCUGGUGUACCAGUUAUCGUGCCAACGGUAAACGCUGGGUAGCCAUGUGCGGAGCGGAUAACCGCUGAAAGCAUCUAAGUGGGAAGCCCACCUCAAGAUGAGUGUUCCCAUGGCAUAAGCCAGUAAGGUCACGGGAAGAACACCCGUUGAUAGGCUCUACGCGGAAGCGUGGCAACACGUGAAGCGGAGGAGUACUAAUAGACCGAGGGCUUGACC